AGGAGAAAGGAGAAUAGUCUGCGACCACUGAGCCCUGCCUCCUCAAGCAGACCUCACAGCCAGCAGCCCUGGAGGAGCAACAUUAAGCCACUGGGAUUCCCCCAACUUCAGGCAAAUCAGAAUCAGAAUCAAGAUUUUAAAGGUAUCUCCAAGAAAAGUGAAGGUAGCUACAUUAAUUACUUCAGCUGACUUUUGGACAACAUGGGUUUCAAUGGUGUGGGUCCAUUUAUACACGGAUUUACUUCUGCCACUGCCGCCCCUGAGACAGCAAGACCAACCCCUCCUCUUCCUCAGCCUACUCAACAUGAAGAUGACGAGGAUGAAGACCUUCAUAAUGAUCCACUUCCACUUAACAAAUAGUAUCUAUAUUUUCUAUUCUUUAUGAUUUUCUUAAUAACAUUCUCUAUUCUCAAGCUUACUUUUCUGUAAGAAUAUAGUACAUAAUACAUACAAUAUAUAAAGUAUGUGAUAACUGACCAUGUUAUCAAUAAGGCUUCCAGUCAAGAGUAAGCUAUUAGUAGUUAAG
Molecule: long non-coding RNA, 526 nt
Filed under: Homo sapiens (human)
Lineage: Eukaryota; Metazoa; Chordata; Mammalia; Primates; Hominidae
Description: HSALNT0303573
Source: RNAcentral